AUUCAAUGAGAAACAAUAUUCAGGUCAGGUCAAAGCCUAGAGAAAAAUGCGCAUUCAGAAGUGGGCUGCCAUCCUGCUUUUUCUGAAGUGAACAGCUGCUGGGUAUUGAAACCAGCCCUCACGGUUGGGUCCCUGCCACCAUGGCAACACUCUGGUUUCUGAGCUGGAGUGGCCAAGGCACAAUGGGGUGGUUCCAUGGCCCAGAAGCACUCUAGCUACAGAUUAGAAUGAUGACAAGAGUAAUACCUUCCUAGUGAAGAUGACUUUUAUUUCAGGACUAUAUUAAGUUUCCCAACUUCUGUCAUGAUAUAGUCCAAAGAGAACCUGGACCACGCAGACAUCAAACAGAACAUGACACUGACCCAUUCUAUCAGUGACGUUGUGCUGAUUGCACAGGACAGAUGAGAGGCUCGUAUACUAGAAGUCUUGUUAUCCACAGAAGGAAUGAUCUGCAAUGUACACACGCCAGGACAGAAAUUCUACAGUUGCUGAUAAAAUGUAAACCUAUCACCCCACCACCAGGGUCCCUGCUUCUCCUGUAAGGGAAUCAUUAUAGAAAAAAAUUAAGAGGCUUGAGAAAAUCAGAAGUUCAUAAAGGAAGAAAGGAAAGAAAUUAUAGGAAGCAGGAAGAGCUCUGGGGAGCUGUUUUCGGGAGCAAAUAUCCAGAAUGAACACCUUGACUCAUGGCUGCAUCUGCAAGGAAGAUGGGACAUCCAUUCUCACUUGUACACAGGCUAUGGGUUGUCCGGAGCCCUGAGCUGAAGACAGGCCUGCUGCUGAUCCCAGAGACAGAUGGCCAGAGUUAGGAACAGCAUGCACAAAGAAGAUCCUAAGCCUUCCUGGAGAAGUGCCAAUAUCAUCAUUUGGGGGUCUUAAAGCCAAGCUGGGGAAUAAGCGUUAUGGGGAAUGCUGAGAAGGAGAUGUUUAAUCAAGUGUGUAGGUUUAGGACUUCAGUCAAAGGGCUGCUUUUUUGCUGCUCUCAGGCAGUUUUCACUGCAUGCCUUCACCUCUGGUAUCUUCAAAGCACUCCUUGGCUUGUGCCAUUAAUACUUUACCUAAGAUUUUUAGAAAUUCUGUCUGGUCAUAUGCUACAUCCUACUUGUAUUGAAAGAACCCUUAGGAUUUCCCCUUUAUUGCUAUACAUCUCUUUAAGUCUCUUAUCUUUAGAGACUAAAGUAAAAUUUGGUCCUUUAAUAAUCAUAAUAAACAGGUAAUCAUACUUACCUGUUUCUUGAUUUGACCUGAGAACAUCUUAAGCAAAGCUUGUUAGAAAGUGAGUUAAAGCGUGGCUCUUUAGUCUGGAGCCUGUGAAGGAUGUUACAGUUGCUGGAAAUAGACAAGCAGGCUUUGUUUGCAUUGAACCACAGCAAUGUCUCAUGCUCUUCCUUGUUCUCUAUUUAGCACUUCAUCUUCAUCUAAUCUCUAACAAAGCAUGGUCUGUGGCAGGCAGUCUGUGGUAAGCACAGUGAAUCAGCCUACCCUUCUGGAAGGUGACAGCAGUGAGGAGUGUCUAAAUAUUUAUUUCAAAUAUAAUCUAUCCUGUAGUCCUCCACAUUCAAAGAUUUUCCAAUUUAAAAUAUCCAUGGCCAGGGGGUCGGUUCCAAGAUGGCCGAAUAGGAA
This 1620-nucleotide long non-coding RNA is filed under the name Homo sapiens (human). Its description in RNAcentral is "HSALNT0302883". Lineage: Eukaryota; Metazoa; Chordata; Mammalia; Primates; Hominidae. The record is from RNAcentral.